Long non-coding RNA from Bradysia coprophila, 159 nucleotides. NCBI's taxonomy places the organism in Eukaryota, Metazoa, Arthropoda, Insecta, Diptera, Sciaridae. The record is from RefSeq and is a predicted model, not a curated record.
UGAGAUGAAUUGAUGUAAGUUCCUAUGAUUCCAUUAUUCCUGAAUGCUCCACCUCGUUCUCGAUCCUUGAAAUCACGGAUUAUGAUUACUUCCAUCAAGUUUUUUUGGUUUUCUGUGGAUUUGUGGCAUUUUUGAGGUGAAUAGAGCUAAGUUCCUAUG